RNAcentral lists this ribosomal RNA (533 nucleotides) under uncultured bacterium. Its description in RNAcentral is "bacterial SSU rRNA". It matches the Rfam family "Bacterial small subunit ribosomal RNA", at positions 977 to 1509 of the family's 1533-position model. The record is from RNAcentral.
GGCCUUGACAUACUAAGAACUUUCCAGAGAUGGAUUGGUGCCUUUCGGGAACUUAGAUACAGGUGCUGCAUGGCUGUCGUCAGCUCGUGUCGUGAGAUGUUGGGUUAACGUCCGCAACGAGCGCAACCCUUUUCCUAUUUGCCAGCGGGUAAUGCCGGGAACUUUAAGGAUACUGCCAGUGACAAACUGGAGGAAGGCGGGGACGACGUCAAGUCAUCAUGGCCCUUACGGCCAGGGCUACACACGUGCUACAAUGGUCGGUACAAAGGGUUGCUACCUCGCGAGAGGAUGCUAAUCUCAAAAAGCCGAUCGUAGUCCGGAUCGCAGUCUGCAACUCGACUGCGUGAAGUCGGAAUCGCUAGUAAUCGCGGAUCAGAAUGCCGCGGUGAAUACGUUCCCGGGCCUUGUACACACCGCCCGUCACACCAUGGGAGUUUGUUGCACCAGAAGUAGGUAGUCUAACCGCAAGGAGGACGCUUACCACGGUGUGGCCGAUGACUGGGGUGAAGUCGUAACAAGGUAAGCGUAGAUGA